UAUUCUUAUAGGGUUUAUAAUCUCAUUUUUAAUAUUUUUUUUCUUUAACCGACCGUUUCUAGAGUAAGUGGCAAAGAGCUUGAUGGUUGGUACCCGAGACCCAAGUUUGAAUCCUAGUUGAUUCGCAUUUCCAGCUAAGUUUAUUUCUAAAUGAAAUAAACGAAGCGGGGUAGCGUGCUACCUAUCUCUCAAUAUAUAUAUAUAUAUAUAGUAAUAAAAGCUUCAACUACUCAGUUUAAUAAAAUGCUUGAGUUACCGACCGUCCCUAGUGAAAGUGGCAAAGGACUUGAUCGUUGAUAUUCGAAAUUCCAAAUUCGAAUCCUAAUUGAUUCACAUUUUCAGCUAAGUUCAUUUCUAAGAAUUAAAGUAAAUGAAACAGAUAAUACACUAUCUUUCUCUCAAAAGAUAAAAAUAAAAUGUUUUAGCUACCGGCCGGUAAUUACUAUAAUC
Molecule: long non-coding RNA, 450 nt
Filed under: Ananas comosus (pineapple)
Lineage: Eukaryota; Viridiplantae; Streptophyta; Magnoliopsida; Poales; Bromeliaceae
Description: long non-coding RNA (ACOM_LNC004399)
Source: RNAcentral